This 341-nucleotide long non-coding RNA is filed under the name Homo sapiens (human). RNAcentral's name for it is "non-protein coding LINC01579:8". Lineage: Eukaryota; Metazoa; Chordata; Mammalia; Primates; Hominidae. The record is from RNAcentral.
AGGUGCCCACAGCAGAAUCCACAUGCCGUCCAUCUGGUCCAGCCUCACGCAGAGCCACAACUGUGCUGGCGCCUGGAGCUGCCAGCCCCACUGCAGCAGCCGGACUGACAUUCAGACGUGGAGCAAGUUGGACUGCAUAGGGACCCACCAGUGAGAUGGACGCUGUCUGUAAACGGUUCUCCAGGGAGGCUGCUCUGCCAAGUCUGGUAUUUCAUGAAUAGAUCUGAAAACAGACAUUAUCUCUUCUCCCAGUGAAGAGAGAGCGAUGAAGCCUCAGGACAAAAGGAGGCAGUGGGAUGAUGCCACCAAGGGACCAUUCUGAAGAGCCAUCAGCAAAAAGC